Molecule: ribosomal RNA, 483 nt
Filed under: uncultured bacterium
Lineage: Bacteria
Description: partial 16S ribosomal RNA
Rfam family: Bacterial small subunit ribosomal RNA
Source: RNAcentral
AUUGAACGCUGGCGGCAGGCCUAACACAUGCAAGUCGAGCGGAUGAAGGGAGCUUGCUCCUGGAUUCAGCGGCGGACGGGUGAGUAAUGCCUAGGAAUCUGCCUGGUAGUGGGGGAUAACGUCCGGAAACGGGCGCUAAUACCGCAUACGUCCUGAGGGAGAAAGUGGGGGAUCUUCGGACCUCACGCUAUCAGAUGAGCCUAGGUCGGAUUAGCUAGUUGGUGGGGUAAAGGCCUACCAAGGCGACGAUCCGUAACUGGUCUGAGAGGAUGAUCAGUCACACUGGAACAGAGACACGGGCCAGACUCAUACGGGAGGCAGCAGUGGGGAAUAUUGGACGAUGGGCGAAAGCCUGAUCCAGCCAUGCCGCGGGUGUGAAGAAGGUCUUCGGAUUGUAAAGCACUUUAAGUUGGGAGGAAGGGCAGUAAGUUAAUACCUUGCUGUUUUGACGUUACCAACAGAAUAAGCACCGGCUAACUUCGU